RNAcentral lists this ribosomal RNA (305 nucleotides) under uncultured bacterium. Its description in RNAcentral is "bacterial SSU rRNA". It matches the Rfam family "Bacterial small subunit ribosomal RNA", at positions 333 to 631 of the family's 1533-position model. The record is from RNAcentral.
GGAGCCCUACGGGACGCAGCAGUAGGGAAUUUUCGUCAAUGGGCGCAAGCCUGAACGAGCAAUGCCGCGUGAACGAGGAAGGUCUUCGGAUCGUAAAGUUCUGUUGAAGGGGAAAAAGAGCGGAGAGAGGAAAUGGUCUCCGAUUGAUAUUACCCUUCGAGGAAGUCACGGCUAACUACGUGCCAGCAGCCGCGGUAAUACGUAGGUGGCGAGCGUUAUCCGGAAUGAUUGGGCGUAAAGGGUGCGUAGGCGGCCUGCUAAGUCUGGAGUGAAAGGUACCGGCUCAACCGGGACAGGCGCUGGGA